AAGUCGUAACAAGGUUUCCGUAGGUGAACCUGCGGAAGGAUCAUUAAGAAAAGCGAGUGCGGGAAAACGCGCUCUCAUUUCAAACCACUGUGAAAACGCACGUUGCUUCGGCAGCUCCACGGCCGCGAGGUCAUGGGUCAGCCUGUCGACAGCACCAAACCAAACCUUUUUGUAACAGCAGUCCGAUAACGAAAUACAAAUCGUUAAAA
This 209-nucleotide unclassified non-coding RNA is filed under the name plant metagenome. RNAcentral's name for it is "partial contains small subunit ribosomal RNA and internal transcribed spacer 1". The stretch from base 1 to 46 matches the Rfam family "Eukaryotic small subunit ribosomal RNA", at positions 1786 to 1831 of the family's 1831-position model. The record is from RNAcentral.